CCCUUGUAUUUUUUUUUAUUGGAUAAAUUUUUUGAUUUUGUAGUUUAAAAUUAAAAAUUUUGGCAGUUGGUUAUAGAUUAAAGGAGCUUGUUGUGAAAUUAAGAAUUUACACUUUAGAUUUUAAUAAUUGAAAUUUUGUUUAUUCAUUUCUGUUAUUAAAAAUAGUUUUUAAUAGAGUUUAUUUAAAAUUUCAGGUCAAGAUGUAGCAUUAAUUAUUAAUAGAUUAGCUACAAUUAGAUAUUAUUGGUUAAGGGUUGGUAAAAAUUUUUAUAAAUUGAAUUUAGUUGUAAUAAGUGUAUUUAUAAUAUUAAUAUGAUUAAUGGUAAUCAAUGU
This 333-nucleotide ribosomal RNA is filed under the name Promitobates bellus. RNAcentral's name for it is "partial 12S ribosomal RNA". The record is from RNAcentral. Lineage: Eukaryota; Metazoa; Arthropoda; Arachnida; Opiliones; Gonyleptidae.